CGGUGGAACUUUUCGAAGCACUGGCAAGAAGUCGCAACACGUCGCUCACUCCAAGAGUUGCAUUCAGCAAGCUAAGCGUUUCCAAAUUAUGCUGACAACUAUGUGAACGAAUAUUUGUUUUAAAUUACUGAGAAUCGAUAAAUUUUUAUCAAAUAAUUUUGGCGUAAAAAAUUUCAAGAAACUUGCUAAUUAAUCAAUUACCCUAAAAAGUUAGCAAGGGCAUAUAACAGUUUGCCCCUGUUCCCCCAUUUACAAAUGAAUAUCCAAUCGGUGAGUAUCAGCUUCCUUAAUUGAACAUUCUUGGCUCGUACGAUCGUAAGGAAGUCAGCGCCUGCCUCGGCUUGAAUGUUACGAGUUAUGCGAGCUUCUCUUGGCAAGAGAUACGGUCGUGACCAGGCGAGUUCCAGGCUUCGUAUAUGCUGUCCAUAUUUUGCCUAAAUGAAACGAGUUUAUCGAGUUUCGAGUAUUAUACGUAUCAUAUGUACAAUAAUAAUAGAAAAUUUCUUAAGCAUAUGUUAUAUAUAUAAACGCUUGAUUUUAUUUACUAAGAUUAAAAAAAAAAAAAAAAUGUAUGAUAUUCGAUAUUCCAUUGG
Apis florea (little honeybee) is the source of this 593-nucleotide long non-coding RNA. The record is from RefSeq and is a predicted model, not a curated record. Lineage: Eukaryota; Metazoa; Arthropoda; Insecta; Hymenoptera; Apidae.